Molecule: ribosomal RNA, 497 nt
Filed under: uncultured bacterium
Lineage: Bacteria
Description: partial 16S ribosomal RNA
Rfam family: Bacterial small subunit ribosomal RNA
Source: RNAcentral
GAUGAACGCUGGCGGCGUGCCUAAUACAUGCAAGUCGAGCGAACAGACGAGGAGCUUGCUCCUCUGACGUUAGCGGCGGACGGGUGAGUAACACGUGGAUAACCUACCUAUAAGACUGGGAUAACUUCGGGAAACCGGAGCUAAUACCGGAUAAUAUAUUGAACCGCAUGGUUCAAUAGUGAAAGACGGUUUUGCUGUCACUUAUAGAUGGAUCCGCGCCGCAUUAGCUAGUUGGUAAGGUAACGGCUUACCAAGGCAACGAUGCGUAGCCGACCUGAGAGGUUGAUCGGCCACACUGGAACUGAGACACGGUCCAGACUCCUACGGGAGGCAGCAGUAGGGAAUCUUCCGCAAUGGGCGAAAGCCUGACGGAGCAACGCCGCGUGAGUGAUGAAGGUCUUCGGAUCGUAAAACUCUGUUAUUAGGGAAGAACAAAUGUGUAAGUAACUAUGCGCGUCUUGACGGUACCUAAUCAGAAAGCCACGGCUAACUACGUG